This 1249-nucleotide ribosomal RNA is filed under the name Pseudomonas putida. Its description in RNAcentral is "bacterial SSU rRNA". It matches the Rfam family "Bacterial small subunit ribosomal RNA", at positions 58 to 1183 of the family's 1533-position model. The record is from RNAcentral. Lineage: Bacteria; Pseudomonadati; Pseudomonadota; Gammaproteobacteria; Pseudomonadales; Pseudomonadaceae.
CAAGAAGGGAACGCGAUGGAUGGCGAGUUUCGCCGUUGAUUGGCCCAUUUGCCGGUAUCCUCAAAUUGACUGGUGAGCCAUGAAGUCGGUCGGACCGGGGGGGCUGGGAAGCGGCUUCAAUUCGAAAGCAAUGCCCCCCCGCCCCCUGCCCGUACCUCGGGGGAACUUUGUGAGGCAGCUAUCUCUUUCGAGACCGGGGGUUGACUCCUAUCGUAUGGGGUAAUGUAACACCAAGGCGACGAUCCGUAACUGGUCUGAGAGGAUGAUCAGUCACACUGGAACUGAGACACGGUCCAGACUCCUACGGGAGGCAGCAGUGGGGAAUAUUGGACAAUGGGCGAAAGCCUGAUCCAGCCAUGCCGCGUGUGUGAAGAAGGUCUUCGGAUUGUAAAGCACUUUAAGUUGGGAGGAAGGGCAGUAAGUUAAUACCUUGCUGUUUUGACGUUACCGACAGAAUAAGCACCGGCUAACUCUGUGCCAGCAGCCGCGGUAAUACAGAGGGUGCAAGCGUUAAUCGGAAUUACUGGGCGUAAAGCGCGCGUAGGUGGUUUGUUAAGUUGGAUGUGAAAGCCCCGGGCUCAACCUGGGAACUGCAUCCAAAACUGGCAAGCUAGAGUACGGUAGAGGGUGGUGGAAUUUCCUGUGUAGCGGUGAAAUGCGUAGAUAUAGGAAGGAACACCAGUGGCGAAGGCGACCACCUGGACUGAUACUGACACUGAGGUGCGAAAGCGUGGGGAGCAAACAGGAUUAGAUACCCUGGUAGUCCACGCCGUAAACGAUGUCAACUAGCCGUUGGAAUCCUUGAGAUGUUAGUGGCGCAGCUCACGCAUUAAGUUGACCGCCUGGGGAGUACGGCCGCACCGCUUAGGACUCAAAUGAGUUGACUGGGGCCCGCACAAGCAGUGGAGCAUGGUGGGUUUAAUUCGAAGCAACACGAAAAACCUUACCACGCCUUGACAUGCAGACAACUUUCCAGAAGAUGAAUAGUGCCUUCGUGUACUCUGACACAGUGCAGCAAGGGCUGUCGUGACUCUGUCGUGCCAUGUCGGUAAGUCGCGUUACUACCCAAACCAAUGUCUACCUACCGACGAGUAUGGUGGGCAUCGGUCGUCACUGCUAGGUAACUAUCCGCGAGGACGCCGGAUGAGAUAGAGUGAGAAUUGCUACGUCGAGGCUCAUCGAUCCAGCAGUACGUCAAGUGCUGACCAAAGUCACUCACCCCAGAUCGAGAUACUCUCACUCGUAUGAC